Molecule: ribosomal RNA, 817 nt
Filed under: uncultured Leuconostoc sp.
Lineage: Bacteria; Bacillati; Bacillota; Bacilli; Lactobacillales; Lactobacillaceae
Description: bacterial SSU rRNA
Rfam family: Bacterial small subunit ribosomal RNA
Source: RNAcentral
GAACGCUGGCGGCGUGCCUAAUACAUGCAAGUCGAACGCACAGCGAAAGGUGCUUGCACCUUUCAAGUGAGUGGCGAACGGGUGAGUAACACGUGGAUAACCUACCUCAAGGUUGGGGAUAACAUUUGGAAACAGAUGCUAAUACCGAAUAAAACUUAGUAUCGCAUGAUACCAGGUUAAAAGGCGCUACGGCGUCACCUAGAGAUGGAUCCGCGGUGCAUUAGUUAGUUGGUGGGGUAAAGGCUUACCAAGACAAUGAUGCAUAGCCGAGUUGAGAGACUGAUCGGCCACAUUGGGACUGAGACACGGCCCAAACUCCUACGGGAGGCUGCAGUAGGGAAUCUUCCACAAUGGGCGAAAGCCUGAUGGAGCAACGCCGCGUGUGUGAUGAAGGCUUUCGGGUCGUAAAGCACUGUUGUAUGGGAAGAACAGCUAGAGUAGGGAAUGACUUUAGUUUGACGGUACCAUACCAGAAAGGGACGGCUAAAUACGUGCCAGCAGCCGCGGUAAUACGUAUGUCCCGAGCGUUAUCCGGAUUUAUUGGGCGUAAAGCGAGCGCAGACGGUUAAUUAAGUCUGAUGUGAAAGCCCGGAGCUCAACUCCGGAAAGGCAUUGGAAACUGGUUAACUUGAGUGCAGUAGAGGUAAGUGGAACUCCAUGUGUAGCGGUGGAAUGCGUAGAUAUAUGGAAGAACACCAGCGGCGAAGGCGGCUUACUGGACUGUAACUGACGUUGAGGCUCGAAAGUGUGGGUAGCAAACAGGAUUAGAUACCCUGGUAGUCCACACCGUAAACGAUGAACACUAGGUGUUAGGAGG